AUGAAUGCCUCAGCUAUACCUCAGAUGGAAUCUCCUUUGACCUGUGGACUCAUGGCUGUGGCUGCCCCACGUACAGGAUCCAGUGGGGAUGUUGCAUUGACCCAGACUCCACUGUCCCUGCCUGUCACCCCUGGAGAGUCGGCCUCCAUCUCCUGCAGGGCUGGUCAGAGCCUCCUACAUAGUAAUGGAAGCACCUAUUUGAAUUGGUAUCUACAGAAGCCAGACCAGCCUCCUCGACUCCUGAUCUAUUUGGUUUCUAGCCAGGAUUCUGGGGUCCCAGACAGGUUCAGUGGCAGUGGGCUAGGGACAGAUUUCACACUUAAAUUCAGCACGGUGGAGGCUGAAGAUGUUGGGGUUUACUACUGCAUGAAAACCCUGCAUAAUUCUCCCAAAAUGAUACAGAUCUGA
Non-coding RNA from Cynocephalus volans (Philippine flying lemur), 408 nucleotides. NCBI's taxonomy places the organism in Eukaryota, Metazoa, Chordata, Mammalia, Dermoptera, Cynocephalidae. The record is from the annotation of a RefSeq genome assembly.